This is a long non-coding RNA of Acinonyx jubatus (cheetah), 1346 nucleotides long. RefSeq lists it as uncharacterized. The transcript is spliced from 3 exons. NCBI's taxonomy places the organism in Eukaryota, Metazoa, Chordata, Mammalia, Carnivora, Felidae. The record is from RefSeq and is a predicted model, not a curated record.
GCUUUGAAGCUGUGUUUGUAUUGCAGGCUUUUUCUUAGAGGCAGUGUUGAUUCCGGGGAUACAGAGUAGGGCUGGGGGAUACUGGGUUUCUAGUCUUUAAAAAUUGUAAUACACUAUUCGGCACCUGGAUGGCUCAGUUGGUUAAACAUCUGACUCUUGAUUUUAGCUCAGGUCGUGAUCUCAUGGUUUUGUGGGUUUGAGCCCCACUUUGGCCACCAAUAGCGUGGGGCCUACUUGGGAUUCUCUCUGCCCCUCUCCACUCAAAGACUUGCUCUCUCUCUCUCUCUAUCUCUCUCAAAAUAAAUACACUUUAAAGAAAAACACCUGUAACACACCAGUUUAUUGACACGCAUGCCCAUGAUUAUCUUUUCUUUCUAGAAGCCAAGGCUGAGGCAUCCUCUAAGGGCCAAAGGCGAGGGUCCCUUCCUCCCAAUUUACAUGGUUCCCCUGAUGCUGAAAACUCCCCUUGUCUCAAGGGCCCUCCCAUGGGGAAUCUGACUUCACACCUCCAGGGCCCUCUUUAAAAAAAAAAAAAAAGUAUCAUAUUCUUAACUUUUUAACAAGUUUUAUUUAUUUAAGUAAUCUCUACGCCCAACGUGAGGCUUGAACUCACGACUCCGAGAUCAAGAGUCACACGCUAUUCCACCUGAGCCAGCCAGGCAUCCCUCCAGGGCCCUCUUGAGGCGGUUUCUCUGGCAGGUGGCUAGCCAGCAUCUCCCAGCACCUUCCAACAGCUUGACCAUCUGCUUAUAUUUAAGGAUUCUUUAACACAUUCGGGACAAAACUAUGGGAAAGAAAUUGACAUUUGUUCAGUACUAUGUGCCAAGCACUGAAUCAGGCAUCUACAUGCACCGAUUCACUGGGGCAAGUUACUUGACCUUCCUGUGCCUCUGCUUCCUUGUCUGUACGGACACCCCCAACGGUACUGGGACGUCACCAGAGGAACAUUGUGGACGAGGAUACACGAUGAGCCGAACAAGGUCUGGGGUGGGAAGCACUCGAUACAUGAGCCCCGAGCCACCUGGCAGUGUCCGUGACUCUGAAGGAUCGACAGGCCAAUCCCAGACCGCUCACAGUCUGACAAGACCCAGGCCCGAUACCUCGAUGGGUUUCAUCAGAGGUGUGGUGUCUGAAGAAAGCAGUGGAAGGGAGCUGGUGAGAAGGCAGACAGAUUCAGGAGGUCUGCAAGCUCCCAGGGGAAGCCGAUGCUGUUGGCCUUGGACACGCUUGAGCAGGGUCCUGGGGACGGACGCACUUGACACAAGGCUGGCAUCUACCCCUGUGCCAGGAGGGUGGGACGGAAACUUCCUUAGGCCUUCCACCUGCACCACCCUGCCUCAUAUCGA